RNAcentral lists this ribosomal RNA (588 nucleotides) under uncultured bacterium. Its description in RNAcentral is "bacterial SSU rRNA". It matches the Rfam family "Bacterial small subunit ribosomal RNA", at positions 336 to 916 of the family's 1533-position model. The record is from RNAcentral.
CUCCUACGGGAGGCAGCAGUGGGGAAUAUUGGACAAUGGGCGCAAGCCUGAUCCAGCAAUGCCGCGUGUGUGAAGAAGGCCUGCGGGUUGUAAAGCACUUUCAGUGGGGAGGAAUGCCUGAUGAUUAAUACUUAUCAGGAUUGACGUUACCCACAGAAGAAGCACCGGCUAACUCUGUGCCAGCAGCCGCGGUAAUACAGAGGGUGCAAGCGUUAAUCGGAAUUACUGGGCGUAAAGGGUGCGUAGGUGGCAUGAUAAGUCAGAUGUGAAAUCCCCGGGCUCAACCUGGGAACUGCAUUUGAAACUAUUAAGCUAGAGUAUGGUAGAGGGAAGUGGAAUUUCCGGUGUAGCGGUGAAAUGCGUAGAUAUCGGAAGGAACAUCAGUGGCGAAGGCGACUUCCUGGACCAAAACUGACACUGAGGCACGAAAGCGUGGGGAGCAAACAGGAUUAGAUACCCUGGUAGUCCACGCCGUAAACGAUGAGAACUAGAUGUUAGGAAGCUUGUCUUCUUAGUAUUGCAGCUAACGCGUUAAGUUCUCCGCCUGGGGAGUACGGCCGCAAGGUUAAAACUCAAAGGAAUUGACGG